RNAcentral lists this ribosomal RNA (250 nucleotides) under uncultured bacterium. RNAcentral describes it as "partial 16S ribosomal RNA". It matches the Rfam family "Bacterial small subunit ribosomal RNA", at positions 524 to 773 of the family's 1533-position model. The record is from RNAcentral.
CACGUAGGACGCAAGCGUUAUCCGGAAUUACUGGGCGUAAAGGGCGCGUAGGCGGCCUUCUAAGUCAGACGUGAAAUCCCCCGGCUCAACCUGGGAACUGCGUCUGAUACUGGAGGGCUCGAAUGCGGGAGAGGGAUGUGGAAUUCCAGGUGUAGCGGUGAAAUGCGUAGAUAUCUGGAGGAACACCGGUGGCGAAGGCGGCAUCCUGGACCGACAUUGACGCUGAGGCGCGAAAGCUAGGGUAGCAAAC